This 501-nucleotide ribosomal RNA is filed under the name uncultured bacterium. RNAcentral's name for it is "partial 16S ribosomal RNA". It matches the Rfam family "Bacterial small subunit ribosomal RNA", at positions 29 to 523 of the family's 1533-position model. The record is from RNAcentral.
AUUGAACGCUGGCGGCAUGCCAUACACAUGCAAGUCGAACGGCAGCACGGGAGCAAUCCUGGUGGCGAGUGGCGAACGGGUGAGUAAAGUAUCGGAACGUGCCCAGUCGUGGGGGAUAACGUAGCGAAAGUUACGCUAAUACCGCAUACGAUCUAUGGAUGAAAGCGGGGGAUCGCAAGACCUCGCGCGAUUGGAGCGGCCGAUAUCAGAGUUAGGUAGUUGGUGGGGUAAAGGCUCACCAAGCCGACGAUCUGUAGCUGGUCUGAGAGGACGACCAGCCACACGGGGACUGAGACACGGCCCAGACUCCGACGGGAGGCAGCAGUGGGGAAUUUUGGACAAUGGGCGAAAGCCUGAUCCAGCCAUGCCGCGUGCAGGAUGAAGGCCUUCGGGUUGUAAACUGCUUUUGUACGGAACGAAAAGGUUUGGCCUAAUAAGCUGAGCUCAUGACGGUACCGUAAGAAUAAGCACCGGCUAACUACGUGCCAGCAGCCGCCGUAA